RNAcentral lists this long non-coding RNA (3888 nucleotides) under Gossypium barbadense (sea-island cotton). Its description in RNAcentral is "long non-coding RNA (GBAR_LNC008422)". The record is from RNAcentral. Lineage: Eukaryota; Viridiplantae; Streptophyta; Magnoliopsida; Malvales; Malvaceae.
AUCCAAGAAUGCGGUACGGUUUGAUGACUGCGUGGUGGCAGGCAGCAGAAACUGAUCUAGUCAAUAAACAACUUCCAGAUGGAACAACACAUACAGAGAAAUAGGAAAAACAAAAAGAAAAAUCCAAGUAGAAUCUAAAUGUUGGGAAUUCGAACAGAGGUCAUCAAGCUAUAGUGUAGAGAAUUCAUGUUUGCAGGGUUAUAAAUCCAAAGAUAUCACUCAUAUUAAUCAAACAACAAUAUUAUUGGGAAAAAGAAUUCAUGAAGGUCGGAGAAGUCAAGUAAAACUUAAAGCUGUAUCCUAGUGGUCCCAGUCCCAGUCGCAGUCCCAGUUCCAGUUCCAGAGCUCUACCUUUGAAACAAAUUGAUUGCAAUCUAAGGAAAAGGAAAGAGGUGAGCGUGUUACAGGGUAAAACUGAAAUAGAAAAAUAAAAUAAUAAGGAUUAAACGGUGCGUUUAGUAUAGAGGGUGUUAAUGAAAAUAGUGCGUAUCGAUUUAAUGAAACGGUGCGCUUAGUAAGGAAUUAAUGAAUCGGUGCGCUUAGAGAAUAAUGGUCGUAGUUGUUAAAGGGCUGACGAACUUUUGUAAUGGCCAUUUCCUUCCCUCUUUAAACCACUACUGUAGGAGGGGGAAACAGCUAUGAAUUUGGUUGUCAAUUCAGUUUUCAUCUCUCUCUCUUGAUUCUCCUAUCUUCCUCCUUUUUUCUCUUUCGAUUUCAACCCGCAACAAAAGUAUCAGAGCUCAAAUGAUCCUCCAUAAUUGGCCAUGGGGUCACAACUCAGGUGCAAAAGAAUGUUGGUCUACUACAACAGGAGGUCACUAAGCCCCGAGGUGAACUCGCACAAUUGGAUUCUAAGUUGGAGACCAAAUUCAAGGACGUGAGUUGAGAUUUGAACUUCAUAAUUUGUUUGCGCAAUAUUUGGAGAAUCCGACCCCUGUUGUUAGUAAUGCAGUUGCUCCAACUAAGAGCAAGGGGAUUUUGGGAGCAGUAGCAAAUCUAGAGGCGGUGGCAUGGGCCCGACUCCCUAAAAUGUAAAAUUAUUAUUUAAGCUUUUAAAUUUUUUUAAAAAUUUUAAAUUAGUAAAAGUAAAAUUUUACGUUGACCCUUAAAAUUAUAAAAGUUUGAUUUAAUCUUUUUAAAAAUUAUAAAUAUAUAGACUAUAAAAAAUUAAAAUUUUAGUCGGCCCCCCUAAAAGAUUGUUCUGACUUCGCCCUGUUUGGGAGAGGAUUCACCUGAAUUUACUCCAAAAAUAUCCACUUGAAGCCCCCACUGGUGGCCCAUCUCAUGAUCCCUUGUUAGAUAUGGGGAGUGCGGGUAUGCAGUCUCGAUUGGAUCAAUUUGACGGUCUUGGUGGAUCUCAUAAGCUUGAUUGCCCUCGAUUCGAUGGGACAGAUUUUCGAGGUUGAUGGUCUAAACUUGAACAGUAUUUUGAUGUAGAGGGAGUGCCAGACAAUGCUAAAGUUCGCACAAUAAUGCUUCACCUUGAAGGAAGGGCAUUGGACUUGCAUCAUUUUUACACUUACAGGGGGGUUGCACAAGCUGAACUGGACCUGUUAUACUCGUAGCCUGCAGGAGAGGUUUGGAUCCAGCCUCUUUCAAGAUCCAAUGGCUGAGUUAGUCACCUUGAAGCAGCAAGGAACCGUGGAGCGAUAUCAUGAUGCAUUUCUCAGUUUGUUGAAUCAGCUGCAACUGCCCGAGUCAUAUGCAUUGAGUAUCUUCACCAGCAAUCUGAAAUUGGAAAUUGGACGGUAUCUACAGUUGUUUAAGCCUCAAUCCUUAGUUGAGGGCUUCCAGAUCGCGAGACAAGUGGAGACUAUCCUUCUCCAUUCUCAGAAGAGGACUCUUUUUCCUAGUGUUGGUAGUUUUCCUCGAUCUCUGCCUGUGCCUUCUCACUCUACUUCACCUGGUAAAUCAAUUCUCCCACCAAUAGCAGUUGUUUAAAGAGGGAAGGAAAUGACCGUUGCAAAAGUUCGUUAGCCCUUUAACAGUUAAGACCGUUACUCCCUAAGUGCAUUGUUUCUUUAAUUUCUUCCUAAGUGCAGUGUUUCAUUAACUGAUAUGUAUCGUUUUCAUUAACACCCUACAUACUAAAAACAAUGUUUAGUCAUUAUUUCAGUUUCCUAAUUUUAGUUUUACCCCGUAAUAGAGCGGAGUUAUAAUAUGAUCCCAUGGCGCUUCAAUUCUUUUGAAAAGCUAAUCAAAUACAGCUUUUCAUUUUUCGUAGGAUUAAUGGGGCAAAGAAAAAGAAAGCCAAGAAAUUGUUUCCCCUAGUAGUUGAUUGAGCUCAGCCCAAAAACUGUGGCCACACCCAUGGCGAUGUGAGAUUUGGCUUCAUCACUUGAAAUCCUACAACAUUAAAUUAAAUUACAAUCAAACGAAAUGGCAACAUAUUUGGUCGGAAUCUUCCUGCAGCACUUUGGAAGUACGUAAAAAUUACUUACGUCGCCCACCCCGUUUUAGGACCAGCAUUGAGUAAAAGGAACAAAACUUAUAUUUAUUAGUUGGUCGUUCUUAUUUAGUUAUAUAUGAAAAUAUGUUUCUCUUAUCCUGCGAUAAGUUACUCAUCUCAUCCUUUAACCCUUUAACCACCCUUUAACCAUGAGGUUGAAGAUCUCUGCUCAUGAAAAUAAAAUACAUUUUGCUAUUUGCAAUGAGAAUAAUCAUUGUUGUGAUUACUAUCAUUAAUAAGCUUUACUCAAAAGAUGAAGAUAACAAUAGCAGCAAAACCCAUAAGCAGACAUGCGCAGCAUAUUCACAAGUUAAUCAUAAUUAGCAAUGGCGACCAUGUUUUCAUCACAAAUGAAGACACACAUUCAUCUAUACAGCAAAGCCAUGUCAAAGCAUUUACUUCAUAACUUAAUAUUAUCUCUUCAUCCAAUGAACAAAUCUCCUGAAAAUGGUUAGAUGAAGACAGGUGGAGAUGAUAGGCAACCAAAUAAUGAUGUGGAAUAAAAGAAAAACAUUGCAGAUAAUGAACGCAUUCCAUUACAUAAAAGUAAAUCAUAAAAUUGUUUAUGCCAAAACCUACAUUGAGAAACUGCAAAACACUUCUUAAAAAGGUUAAUGUAGGCACCAAACAUACAACUGCAAAACAAUUUGAGUUCCUACUAAAAGGAAAUGUUUUAAAACCUCAUCACCUACGGCUCUACUGCACCUUUGCUUUUUUUCUUCUUUUUUUUCUUUUCGCUUUUAUCAUCCCCUGCACCAUUAACAGCAACAGGAGUUUCCUCGCUCUCCUUGCUCUUCUUCUUCUUCUUCUUCUCAGACUUCUCUGUAUCUGGUGAAGAAGCUUCAACCUUAUCCUUGUUCUUCUUCUUUUUUUCCUUCCCAACCUUCUCUUCAGUUUCAGCAUCAGCAUCCUCUUCACUCUUCUUAUGUUUCUUCUUCUUUUUCUCUUUCUUCUCAACUUCAGCUUCACCUUCCUCAACCUUGGCUUUCUUAGCAACAACCGGAGCAGGGCUAUCACUGCUGUCAUCCAAUUUGCGCUUGCGCCCCUCUCCAUCUUCCUUUUCCUUUUCCACCACCGCAGGUUCAGCAGAAGCUGCUAGGCUGGCAACCAUAGAAUCCCCACCAGUUGGCAACGCGACAUUUCUCAACCACUCUUUAGGAGUGCUGUCAUUUGGCUUUCCAUGCUUAUCCAAUUUGCCCUCUGCAAUCAAUUUCUUCUUCAUGGAUGCAGUUGGCCCCAAGCCCCACUUCCUCGGAUAAGUAUCCCUGUCCAUAACUACCCUCUUAAUCUUUGCCACCACACCGUGAUCACAAGUAGCCAUAACCGCAGUGGUCAUUUCAGCAAUUCCCAGAGCAAUUGCCUCUCCUUUCGUCGUCAUUAACACAACUUCCUCCCCAACUUCAAUGUCAUUCUCAAACCUCAGUAAUCCAGGAAUCAUC